UACGUAGGGUGCGAGCGUUAAUCGGAAUUACUGGGCGUAAAGCGUGCGCAGGCGGUUUUGUAAGCCAGAUGUGAAAUCCCCGGGCUUAACCUGGGAAUAGCAUUUGGGACUGCAAGGCUCGAGUGCGGCAGAGGAGACUGGAAUUCCUGGUGUAGCAGUGAAAUGCGUAGAUAUCAGGAGGAACACCGGUGGCGAAGGCGGCUGCCUGGACAGAAACUGACGCUGAGGCGCGAAAGCUAGGGGAGCAAACAGG
This 253-nucleotide ribosomal RNA is filed under the name uncultured bacterium. RNAcentral's name for it is "partial 16S ribosomal RNA". It matches the Rfam family "Bacterial small subunit ribosomal RNA", at positions 524 to 776 of the family's 1533-position model. The record is from RNAcentral.